AGCGUACACGGUGGAUGCCCUGGCAGUCAGAGGCGAUGAAGGACGUGCUAAUCUGCGAUAAGCGUCGGUGAGGUGAUAUGAACCGUUAUAACCGGCGAUUUCCGAAUGGGGAAACCCAGUGUGUUUCGACACACUAUCAUUAACUGAAUCCAUAGGUUAAUGAGGCGAACCGGGGGAACUGAAACAUCUAAGUACCCCGAGGAAAAGAAAUCAACCGAGAUUCCCCCAGUAGCGGCGAGCGAACGGGGAGGAGCCCAGAGCCUGAAUCAGUGUGUGUGUUAGUGGAAGCGUCUGGAAAGGCGCGCGAUACAGGGUGACAGCCCCGUACACAAAAAUGCACAUAUUGUGAGCUCGAUGAGUAGGGCGGGACACGUGGUAUCCUGUCUGAAUAUGGGGGGACCAUCCUCCAAGGCUAAAUACUCCUGACUGACCGAUAGUGAACCAGUACCGUGAGGGAAAGGCGAAAAGAACCCCGGCGAGGGGAGUGAAAAAGAACCUGAAACCGUGUACGUACAAGCAGUGGGAGCCUCUUAAUGGGGUGACUGCGUACCUUUUGUAUAAUGGGUCAGCGACUUAUAUUCUGUAGCAAGGUUAACCGAAUAGGGGAGCCGAAGGGAAACCGAGUCUUAACUGGGCGUUAAGUUGCAGGGUAUAGACCCGAAACCCGGUGAUCUAGCCAUGGGCAGGUUGAAGGUUGGGUAACACUAACUGGAGGACCGAACCGACUAAUGUUGAAAAAUUAGCGGAUGACUUGUGGCUGGGGGUGAAAGGCCAAUCAAACCGGGAGAUAGCUGGUUCUCCCCGAAAGCUAUUUAGGUAGCGCCUCGUGAAUUCAUCUCCGGGGGUAGAGCACUGUUUCGGCAAGGGGGUCAUCCCGACUUACCAACCCGAUGCAAACUGCGAAUACCGGAGAAUGUUAUCACGGGAGACACACGGCGGGUGCUAACGUCCGUCGUGAAGAGGGAAACAACCCAGACCGCCAGCUAAGGUCCCAAAGUCAUGGUUAAGUGGGAAACGAUGUGGGAAGGCCCAGACAGCCAGGAUGUUGGCUUAGAAGCAGCCAUCAUUUAAAGAAAGCGUAAUAGCUCACUGGUCGAGUCGGCCUGCGCGGAAGAUGUAACGGGGCUAAACCAUGCACCGAAGCUGCGGCAGCGACACUAUGUGUUGUUGGGUAGGGGAGCGUUCUGUAAGCCUGUGAAGGUGGCCUGUGAGGGUUGCUGGAGGUAUCAGAAGUGCGAAUGCUGACAUAAGUAACGAUAAAGCGGGUGAAAAGCCCGCUCGCCGGAAGACCAAGGGUUCCUGUCCAACGUUAAUCGGGGCAGGGUGAGUCGACCCCUAAGGCGAGGCCGAAAGGCGUAGUCGAUGGGAAACAGGUUAAUAUUCCUGUACUUGGUGUUACUGCGAAGGGGGGACGGAGAAGGCUAUGUUGGCCGGGCGACGGUUGUCCCGGUUUAAGCGUGUAGGCUGGUUUUCCAGGCAAAUCCGGAAAAUCAAGGCUGAGGCGUGAUGACGAGGCACUACGGUGCUGAAGCGACAAAUGCCCUGCUUCCAGGAAAAGCCUCUAAGCAUCAGGUAACAUCAAAUCGUACCCCAAACCGACACAGGUGGUCAGGUAGAGAAUACCAAGGCGCUUGAGAGAACUCGGGUGAAGGAACUAGGCAAAAUGGUGCCGUAACUUCGGGAGAAGGCACGCUGAUAUGUAGGUGAAGCGACUUGCUCGUGGAGCUGAAAUCAGUCGAAGAUACCAGCUGGCUGCAACUGUUUAUUAAAAACACAGCACUGUGCAAACACGAAAGUGGACGUAUACGGUGUGACGCCUGCCCGGUGCCGGAAGGUUAAUUGAUGGGGUUAGCGGUAACGCGAAGCUCUUGAUCGAAGCCCCGGUAAACGGCGGCCGUAACUAUAACGGUCCUAAGGUAGCGAAAUUCCUUGUCGGGUAAGUUCCGACCUGCACGAAUGGCGUAAUGAUGGCCAGGCUGUCUCCACCCGAGACUCAGUGAAAUUGAACUCGCUGUGAAGAUGCAGUGUACCCGCGGCAAGACGGAAAGACCCCGUGAACCUUUACUAUAGCUUGACACUGAACAUUGAGCCUUGAUGUGUAGGAUAGGUGGGAGGCUUUGAAGUGUGGACGCCAGUCUGCAUGGAGCCGGCCUUGAAAUACCACCCUUUAAUGUUUGAUGUUCUAACGUGGGCCCCUUACCGGGGUUGCGGACAGUGUCUGGUGGGUAGUUUGACUGGGGCGGUCUCCUCCUAAAGAGUAACGGAGGAGCACGAAGGUUGGCUAAUCCUGGUCGGACAUCAGGAGGUUAGUGCAAUGGCAUAAGCCAGCUUGACUGCGAGCGUGACGGCGCGAGCAGGUGCGAAAGCAGGUCAUAGUGAUCCGGUGGUUCUGAAUGGAAGGGCCAUCGCUCAACGGAUAAAAGGUACUCCGGGGAUAACAGGCUGAUACCGCCCAAGAGUUCAUAUCGACGGCGGUGUUUGGCACCUCGAUGUCGGCUCAUCACAUCCUGGGGCUGAAGUAGGUCCCAAGGGUAUGGCUGUUCGCCAUUUAAAGUGGUACGCGAGCUGGGUUUAGAACGUCGUGAGACAGUUCGGUCCCUAUCUGCCGUGGGCGCUGGAGAACUGAGGGGGGCUGCUCCUAGUACGAGAGGACCGGAGUGGACGCAUCACUGGUGUUCGGGUUGUCAUGCCAAUGGCACUGCCCGGUAGCUAAAUGCGGAAGAGAUAAGUGCUGAAAGCAUCUAAGCACGAAACUUGCCCCGAGAUGAGUUCU
RNAcentral lists this ribosomal RNA (2773 nucleotides) under Escherichia coli. RNAcentral's name for it is "bacterial LSU rRNA". It matches the Rfam family "Bacterial large subunit ribosomal RNA". Lineage: Bacteria; Pseudomonadati; Pseudomonadota; Gammaproteobacteria; Enterobacterales; Enterobacteriaceae. The record is from RNAcentral.